Molecule: ribosomal RNA, 440 nt
Filed under: uncultured bacterium
Lineage: Bacteria
Description: partial 16S ribosomal RNA
Rfam family: Bacterial small subunit ribosomal RNA
Source: RNAcentral
CCUACGGGCGGCAGCAGUAGGGAAUAUUGCACAAUGGGGGAAACCCUGAAGCAGCAACGCCGCGUGGAGGAUGAAGGUUUUAGGAUUGUAAACUCCUUUUGUUAGAGAAGAUUAUGACGGUAUCGAACGAAUAAGCACCGGCUAACUCCGUGCCAGAAGCCGCGGUAAUACGGAGGGUGCAAGCGUUACUCGGAAUCACUGGGCGGAAAGAGGGCGUAGGCGUGGUAAUAAGUCAGAUGUGAAAUCCUGUAGCUUAACUACAGAACUGCAUUUGAAACUGUUACUCUGGAGUGUGGGAGAGGUAGGUGGAAUUCUUGGUGUAGGGGUAAAAUGCGUAGAGAUCAAGAGGAAUACUCAGUGCGAAGGCGACCUGCUGGAACAUUACUGACGCUGAGGCACGAAAGCGUGGGGAGCAAACAGGAUUAGAUACCCUAGUAGUC